This 64-nucleotide transfer RNA is filed under the name Candidatus Onthoplasma faecigallinarum. Its description in RNAcentral is "tRNA-Asn". Lineage: Bacteria; Bacillati; Bacillota; Clostridia; Christensenellales; Christensenellaceae. The record is from RNAcentral.
AUAGAUAGGUACGAUUGGGCUGUUAACCGAUAGGUUGUAGGUUCGAGCCCUACUCGGGGCGCCA